GCUGGGGUAGCUCAGUUAGUAGAGCAACGCUCUCGUAAAGCGUAGGUCAUAAGUGCAAUUCUUAUCCCCAGCACCA
This 76-nucleotide transfer RNA is filed under the name Bacillota bacterium. Its description in RNAcentral is "tRNA-Thr". It matches the Rfam family "tRNA". Rfam says of the family: Transfer RNA (tRNA) molecules are approximately 80 nucleotides in length. Lineage: Bacteria; Bacillati; Bacillota. The record is from RNAcentral.